RNAcentral lists this ribosomal RNA (434 nucleotides) under Blastocystis sp. Its description in RNAcentral is "SSU rRNA". It matches the Rfam family "Eukaryotic small subunit ribosomal RNA", at positions 508 to 953 of the family's 1831-position model. Lineage: Eukaryota; Bigyra; Opalinata; Blastocystidae. The record is from RNAcentral.
AUUGGAUUGAGAACAACGUACAACUCUUAUCGAUAAGCCAUUGGAGGGCAAGUCUGGUGCCAGCAGCCGCGGUAAUUCCAGCUCCAAUAGCGUAUAUUAACGUUGUUGCAGUUAAAAAGCUCGUAGUUGAAGUGAGGGAGUGUGUAGUAGGACCGACUUGAUCGGAACUGCUGCAACCUCCCCCCUCCAAUCGGUGUAGUGGGGUAUUCAGUUAUUCUACUACUCCUUUGGUCGUUUACUGUGAGAAAAUUAGAGUGUUCAAAGCGGGCGUUUGUUUGAAUAGAUUAGCAUGGAAUAAUGAUUGAAGGCUUUCGUGUUCGAUUUGAUUGGUUUGUUCAUGGAAGCAAGGUUAAAAGGAACAGUUGGGGGUAUUCAUAUUCACUAGUUAGAGGUGAAAUUCUCGGAUUUAUGGAAGAUGAACAAGUGCGAAAGCA